This 773-nucleotide ribosomal RNA is filed under the name uncultured Streptococcus sp. RNAcentral's name for it is "bacterial SSU rRNA". It matches the Rfam family "Bacterial small subunit ribosomal RNA", at positions 28 to 776 of the family's 1533-position model. Lineage: Bacteria; Bacillati; Bacillota; Bacilli; Lactobacillales; Streptococcaceae. The record is from RNAcentral.
GACGAACGCUGGCGGCGUGCCUAAUACAUGCAAGUAGAACGCACAGGAUGCGCCGUAGUUUACUACACCGUAUUCUGUGAGUUGCGAACGGGUGAGUAACGCGUAGGUAACCUGCCUGGUAGCGGGGGAUAACUAUUGGAAACGAUAGCUAAUACCGUAUAAGAACAUUUACUGCAUGGUAGAUGUUUAAAAGGUGCAAGAGCAUCACUACCAGAUGGACCUGCGUUGUAUUAGCUAGUUGGUGAGGUAACGGCUCACCAAGGCAACGAUACAUAGCCGACCUGAGAGGGUGAUCGGCCACACUGGGACUGAGACACGGCCCAGACUCCUACGGGAGGCAGCAGUAGGGAAUCUUCGGCAAUGGGGGGAACCCUGACCGAGCAACGCCGCGUGAGUGAAGAAGGUUUUCGGAUCGUAAAGCUCUGUUGUUAAGGAAGAACGUGUGUGAGAGUGGAAAGUUCACACAGUGACGGUACUUAACCAGAAUGGGACGGCUAACUACGUGCCAGCAGCCGCGGUAAUACGUAGGUCCCGAGCGUUGUCCGGAUUUAUUGGGCGUAAAGCGAGCGCAGGCGGUUAGAUAAGUCUGAAGUGAAAGGCAGUGGCUCAACCAUUGUAGGCUUUGGAAACUGUUUAACUUGAGUGCAGAAGGGGAGAGUGGAAUUCCAUGUGUAGCGGUGAAAUGCGUAGAUAUAUGGAGGAACACCGGUGGCGAAAGCGGCUCUCUGGUCUGUAACUGACGCUGAGGCUCGAAAGCGUGGGGAGCGAACAGG